This 145-nucleotide unclassified non-coding RNA is filed under the name soil metagenome. RNAcentral's name for it is "partial internal transcribed spacer 1". The record is from RNAcentral.
UAAUAAGUGUUUUAUGGCACUUUUUAAAUCCAUAUCCACCUCGUGUGCAAUGUCAGUCGAUCUUCUUCAUGGAGAUCGACCAAACAUCAACCUUUAUCUUUUAACUCUUUGUCUGAAAAAUAUUACGAAUAAACAAUUCAAAAUA